GGAAUAUUGCACAAUGGGGGAAACCCUGAUGCAGCGACGCCGCGUGAGUGAGGAAGUAUUUCGGUAUGUAAAGCUCUAUCAGCAGGGAAGAAAAUGACGGUACCUGACUAAGAAGCCCCGACUAACUACGUGCCAGCAGCCGCGGUAAUACGUAGGGGGCAAGCGUUAUCCGGAUUUACUGGGUGUAAAGGGAGCGUAGACGGCUAGUCAAGUCAGAAGUGAAAGCCCAGGGCUCAACCUUGGGACUGCUUUUGAAACUGAGUAGCUAGAGUGCAGGAGAGGUAAGCGGAAUUCCUAGUGUAGCGGUGAAAUGCGUAGAUAUUAGGAGGAACACCAGUGGCGAAGGCGGCUUACUGGACUGUAACUGACGUUGAGGCUCGAAAGCGUGGGGAGCAAACA
RNAcentral lists this ribosomal RNA (399 nucleotides) under uncultured bacterium. RNAcentral's name for it is "bacterial SSU rRNA". It matches the Rfam family "Bacterial small subunit ribosomal RNA", at positions 358 to 774 of the family's 1533-position model. The record is from RNAcentral.